This 497-nucleotide ribosomal RNA is filed under the name uncultured bacterium. Its description in RNAcentral is "partial 16S ribosomal RNA". It matches the Rfam family "Bacterial small subunit ribosomal RNA", at positions 28 to 507 of the family's 1533-position model. The record is from RNAcentral.
GAUGAACGCUGGCGGCGUGCCUAAUACAUGCAAGUCGAGCGAACAGAUAAGGAGCUUGCUCCUUUGACGUUAGCGGCGGACGGGUGAGUUACACGUGGAUAACCUACCUAUAAGACUGGGUUAACUUCGGGAAACCGGAGCUAAUACCGGAUAACAUAUUGAACCGCAUGGUUCAAUAGUGAAAGGCGGCUUUGCUGUCACUUAUAGAUGGAUCCGCGCCGUAUUAGCUAGUUGGUAAGGUAACGGCUUACCAAGGCAACGAUACGUAGCCGACCUGAGAGGGUGAUCGGCCACACUGGAACUGAGACACGGUCCAGACUCCUACGGGAGGCAGCAGUAGGGAAUCUUCCGCAAUGGGCGAAAGCCUGACGGAGCAACGCCGCGUGAGUGAUGAAGGUCUUCGGAUCGUAAAACUCUGUUAUCAGGGAAGAACAAAUGUGUAAGUAACUGUGCACAUCUUGACGGUACCUGAUCAGAAAGCCACGGCUAACUACGUG